UACAGAGGUCCCAAGCGUUGUUCGGAUUCAUUGGGCGUAAAGGGUGCGUAGGCGGCGCGGUAAGUCGGGUGUGAAAUCUCGGAGCUUAACUCCGAAACUGCAUUCGAUACUGCCGUGCUUGAGGACUGGAGAGGAGACUGGAAUUUACGGUGUAGCGGUGAAAUGCGUAGAUAUCGUAAGGAGGACCAGUGGCGAAGGCGGGUCUCUGGACAGUUCCUGACGCUGAGGCACGAAGGUCAGGGGAGCAAACGGG
RNAcentral lists this ribosomal RNA (253 nucleotides) under uncultured bacterium. RNAcentral describes it as "partial 16S ribosomal RNA". It matches the Rfam family "Bacterial small subunit ribosomal RNA", at positions 524 to 776 of the family's 1533-position model. The record is from RNAcentral.